UACGGAGGAUGCAAGCGUUAUCCGGAUUCAUUGGGCGUAAAGCGUCCGCAGGUGGUGUGGUAAGUCUGGGGUCAAAGACAGAAGCUCAACUUCUGAGAGGCCCUUGAAACUGCCAGACUAGAGGGGGGUAGGGGUAGCAGGAAUUCCCAGUGUAGCGGUGAAAUGCGUAAAGAUUGGGAAGAACGUCGGUGGCGAAAGCGUGCUACUGGGCCCCUCCUGACACUGAGGGACGAAAGCUAGGGGAGCGAAAGGG
This 253-nucleotide ribosomal RNA is filed under the name uncultured bacterium. RNAcentral describes it as "partial 16S ribosomal RNA". It matches the Rfam family "Bacterial small subunit ribosomal RNA", at positions 524 to 776 of the family's 1533-position model. The record is from RNAcentral.